CUUGGUGGUACUUGCGGAGUAGUCACACCUGUUCCCAUCUCGAACACAGAAGUUAAGCACUCCCGCGCCGAUGAUACCCUGCCUCGUGUAGGGAAAAGUAGGUCACCGCCAGGA
RNAcentral lists this ribosomal RNA (114 nucleotides) under Patescibacteria group bacterium. The record is from RNAcentral.